CCUUCUCAGGAUCUGGUUCACUGGUCCCAUUACAGAGUCAGCACAUUCAGAGCAUUCCCUGUACACCGGUUCAGCUUCUCUGUGUAAAUAACGAUUCCUAGGUGUUUCUGCUUUAGAGACCUUCUGAUACGUUUCAGUGCCGAUGUGGCAGAUCCCAGGACAUCUGAAGCAAGGUUUUCCCAGCAGAGAUGGAGAGGUGCUGCUGGACCUUUGCAAAGUCCUCUUCGCAAGGUUGCACCAGGCAAAAGACACCUGCAGAAGCAAAUGCCUCUGCUCUCCCGCAAAUGAUGCUUCACCCAGGGGAGAUGUGCUGCAUGAGUUUCACCUUUGAGGGGCAGGUGCAAUAGGCAGAGGAGGCUUGAACAUGGGAGACCUUCAACCAAAGCAUCCUGACCCCAGAAGAGGUGUCUCUUAAGCCAGAGAUUUUCCAAGUCCUGAAGAAGUUUCUUGCUAAGCCCCAGCUCCUGGAAUCACGUCAGUUUGUGUCCAGCCAAGCUUUCAAGAGAUGCAUGAAGUUAUCUGGACCUAAAGCCAGUUUGGGGUGGGGAAGACAGAGAUUCUCCUGCAUCCAAUGUCAAUGAAGAAUGUCUGGAGGACAAGAGAUCCCUAUGCUUUUUUCCUUGCCUAGAUGAGAAUGCCUGUUCUUCUAAGCUGUAUAUAGCCCUGCUUCUGCAGACUGGGCACUGGGGUGCCACGUUGCAUGGUGAAGGAUUAGGUAAUUUCCUUCCCUUCUUUUCUGGAAGGUGUUUUGAUUAGUAUAACCAUUGUGUUCCCAAAUUAGCUUGUGUUCCUGGCUUUGCCCUUAGGCUGGCUUUUCCUGUUACAAGCCUGCUCUGGCACAAGUGAUACCGCAGCAUCUACAGCAGCAUCGAAUGGUGCAGCUGAGGUUGGGAUGGAUCCAGCUACACUCAGUCUACCAGCUGCCCUUUCUGAGUGACCUUAGGCUAAUGCUGAGUCCUACAGCUCUCUAGCAUUCCAGUGCCUGGCAUAGCUGUGUGGAAGCUUCCAAACAGCCCAAGCUUUGAUGUGAGA
Molecule: long non-coding RNA, 1032 nt
Organism: Pezoporus flaviventris
Lineage: Eukaryota; Metazoa; Chordata; Aves; Psittaciformes; Psittacidae
Exons: 3
Source: RefSeq, a predicted model, not a curated record